This is a non-coding RNA of Cinara cedri, 272 nucleotides long. The record is from the annotation of a GenBank genome assembly. Lineage: Eukaryota; Metazoa; Arthropoda; Insecta; Hemiptera; Aphididae.
UCAUGAUCAUAUGCGUCAUCACUCAUCAGCUACACUACGCCGUAUAAUCGUAAUUGAUUGAUUGAAUUUCGUGUUUCGAAAAUCGUAUUUCGUCGAAGAGAAAUUUUUCCUAAAAGCCUGUUUUCAACACCAGAUUCGAAUAACCUUAAUUUUUCAAGAACCCAAGACUAAUACCGUCUAAUUAUUCCUACUUCGGAAAUCGCCUUUGGGUGACUGUAUACCGUACUGUAUAGCCAUUCAGAGAUUUCAGGCAGUUCGUUUAAAAAUAUGCU